UUGCUCGCUUUGGCAGCACAUAUACUAAAAUUGGAACGAUACAGACAAGAUUAGCAUGGCCCCUGCCCAAGGAUGACAUGCAAAUUCGUGAAGCAUUCCAUAUUUAA
This 107-nucleotide small nuclear RNA is filed under the name Myotis brandtii (Brandt's bat). Lineage: Eukaryota; Metazoa; Chordata; Mammalia; Chiroptera; Vespertilionidae. The record is from RNAcentral.